GAGCAGUCCAGCUGCUCCCAGUACAGGUGUGGAGCACGAUUUUGUGCUCCAUAGGUAGUAGAGAUUGGGAGUGGCUGUAGCCUGCUCCUGAUCACAAGGGCCUCCAGAUUUCACUAGUGAGCAUCUGCAUGCUCAGCAGUGAAAAGUGCAAACAGGCCCUGAGACCGUAAACUGCAAAUCUUGGGGAAGGCAAGAGAGAUAAAUCACUGUGACAGCAUAAAGCUCCAGUUGAGGCAAGUUCUCUCUUCUUGUUCUCUAAUUACCGGCUUCUCACUUAACCUCCAGGGGAAAAGUCAGGACAUGUCAGAGUGGAAUGGUAACUUCAAAAUGUGUCGAUCCUAGCAAUGUCUCUAAGGAACCGUCUGCAACUGGGUGACAUGGCCAUUCUUUGGCUGCCUGGCACAGAAUGCCAUGACUCACGUGGUAGCUGAUGCCCACGGGGAUUGGUGGGGCAGAACGCAAGGAAGUAGAACAUGUCGAAGUUUUGCAACAAGCGCCUCAGGCGUGGAAUGAAAGAUAACAACCUUUUCUCCUCGUCUCAUUUCCAGAUGUAGGAAAAAAUCAUUUUCUGGAACUCUGGCCAUUUCUUCAAGCUGUUGCCCAAGCGCAUAUUGGCUCCAUGGAAGUCUGUAUUUCCAGAAAAACCAAUGCUUUCCUCUGCUGGAUUUUUCUGUAAACCUGGGUGGUUGUGAGGCUACCUACUGUGCACCUGACAGCUGUGAU
This 723-nucleotide long non-coding RNA is filed under the name Salvator merianae (Argentine black and white tegu). Its description in RNAcentral is "lncRNA (ENSSMRG00000005594.1)". The record is from RNAcentral. Lineage: Eukaryota; Metazoa; Chordata; Lepidosauria; Squamata; Teiidae.